RNAcentral lists this ribosomal RNA (209 nucleotides) under uncultured bacterium. RNAcentral describes it as "partial 16S ribosomal RNA". It matches the Rfam family "Bacterial small subunit ribosomal RNA", at positions 147 to 353 of the family's 1533-position model. The record is from RNAcentral.
CAGUUGGAAACGACUGCUAAUACCGCAUAAGCGCACAGCUUCGCAUGAAGCAGUGUGAAAAACUACCGGUGGUACAAGAUGGACCCGCGUCUGAUUAGCUGGUUGGUGAGGUAACGGCCCACCAAGGCGACGAUCAGUAGCCGGCCUGAGAGGGUGAACGGCCACAUUGGGACUGAGACACGGCCCAAACUCCUACGGGAGGCAGCAUG